CAUCUUUUCUUGUUAGUUUUUGAAGUAUGGCCUGCCCACUGACUUAGAGUUGAAGGGCCGCGGUAUUUUGACCGUGCAAAGGUAGCAUAAUCAUUAGUUCUUUAAUUGUGAUCUGGUAUGAAUGGCUUGACGAGACAUAAGCUGUCUUAGAAGUAUUGAUUUAUUGAAUUUGGUUUUUGAGUUAAAAUUCUUAAAUGUUUUUAUGGGACGAGAAGACCCUAUAGAGUUUGACAAUUUUCCUAUUUAUUCGUUGUUUGUUUUAUUUACAUUGAGUGGGAGUGAAUUGUUUUGUUGGGGUGAUGGGAGGAAUAUUGUUUAACUCCUCUUUAUUUUUAUAUAUUUAUGUAUAUAUUUUUGAUCCAUUUAUUUUGAUUAAAAGAUUAAAUUACCUUA
Molecule: ribosomal RNA, 393 nt
Filed under: Nasutitermes ephratae
Lineage: Eukaryota; Metazoa; Arthropoda; Insecta; Blattodea; Termitidae
Description: partial 16S ribosomal RNA
Source: RNAcentral